Molecule: ribosomal RNA, 442 nt
Filed under: uncultured bacterium
Lineage: Bacteria
Description: partial 16S ribosomal RNA
Rfam family: Bacterial small subunit ribosomal RNA
Source: RNAcentral
CCUACGGGAGGCAGCAGUGGGGGAUAUUGCACAAUGGGGGAAACCCUGAUGCAGCGACGCCGCGUGGGCGAAGAAGUAUUUCGGUAUGUAAAGCCCUAUCAGCAGGGAAGAAGAAAUGACGGUACCUGAGUAAGAAGCACCGGCUAAAUACGUGCCAGCAGCCGCGGUAAUACGUAGGGUGCAAGCGUUAUCCGGAUUCAGUGGGUGGAAAGGGAGCGGAGGCGGCACGGCAAGCCUGAUGUGAAAGCCCGCGGCCCAACCGCGGGACUGCAUUGGGAACUACCGGGCUGGAGUGCCGGAGAGGUAGGCGGAAUUCCUAGUGUAGCGGUGAAAUGCGUAGAUAUUAGGAGGAACACCAGUGGCGAAGGCGGCCUACUGGACGGUGACUGACGCUGAGGCUCGAAAGCGUGGGGAGCAAACAGGAUUAGAUACCCUAGUAGUC